RNAcentral lists this small nucleolar RNA (138 nucleotides) under Ornithorhynchus anatinus (platypus). Lineage: Eukaryota; Metazoa; Chordata; Mammalia; Monotremata; Ornithorhynchidae. The record is from RNAcentral.
CCCCUCUCAGGGUCGCACCUGGAGAGUUUCCAGUCCUCUACCAGUCUUGGCUAUGGGAGGGAGAGUCAAGCAGAAGCCUGGCCAUUCCAUUCCUAGCUUGGCCAGUGGCUAGUGAGUGGAAGGCCAUCUGCUACAAGU